RNAcentral lists this transfer RNA (68 nucleotides) under Halothiobacillus sp. 14-56-357. Its description in RNAcentral is "tRNA-Val". The stretch from base 7 to 65 matches the Rfam family "tRNA", at positions 7 to 64 of the family's 71-position model. Rfam says of the family: Transfer RNA (tRNA) molecules are approximately 80 nucleotides in length. Their secondary structure includes four short double-helical elements and three loops (D, anti-codon, and T loops). Lineage: Bacteria; Pseudomonadati; Pseudomonadota; Gammaproteobacteria; Chromatiales; Halothiobacillaceae. The record is from RNAcentral.
AGUCGCGUAGCUCAGUGGUAGAGCAUCACCUUGACAUGGUGGUGGUCGGUGGUUCUAGUUCAAUCCUA